This 353-nucleotide ribosomal RNA is filed under the name uncultured bacterium. RNAcentral's name for it is "bacterial SSU rRNA". It matches the Rfam family "Bacterial small subunit ribosomal RNA", at positions 28 to 365 of the family's 1533-position model. The record is from RNAcentral.
GAUGAACGCUGGCGGCGUGCUUAACACAUGCAAGUCGAACGAGAAUCAAGUGAUAGAGACUUCGGUCAAUUGACCUUGAGGAAAGUGGCGGACGGGUGAGUAACGCGUGAGGAACCUGCCUAGGAGUGGGGAAUAACAGUCCGAAAGGACUGCUAAUACCGCAUAAUGCAGUUGGGUCGCAUGGCUCUGACUGCCAAAGAUUUAUCGCUCUUAGAUGGCCUCGCGUCUGAUUAGCUAGUUGGUAGGGUAACGGCCUACCAAGGCGACGAUCAGUAGCCGGACUGAGAGGUUGCCGGCACAUUGGGACUGAGACACGGCCCAGACUCCUACGGGAGGCAGCAGUGGGGAAUAUU